This 501-nucleotide ribosomal RNA is filed under the name Salmonella enterica subsp. enterica serovar Hadar. Its description in RNAcentral is "partial 23S ribosomal RNA". It matches the Rfam family "Bacterial large subunit ribosomal RNA", at positions 362 to 766 of the family's 2925-position model. Lineage: Bacteria; Pseudomonadati; Pseudomonadota; Gammaproteobacteria; Enterobacterales; Enterobacteriaceae. The record is from RNAcentral.
GGGUGACAGCCCCGUACACAAAAGCGCAUGUGCUGUGAGCUCGAUGAGUAGGGCGGGACACGUGGUAUCCUGUCUGAAUAUGGGGGGACCAUCCUCCAAGGCUAAAUACUCCUGACUGACCGAUAGUGAACCAGUACCGUGAGGGAAAGGCGAAAAGAACCCCGGCGAGGGGAGUGAAAAAGAACCUGAAACCGUGUACGUACAAGCAGUGGGAGCCCCACCACCAAAGCAUUCUCUGGUGUUGAAGGCCCUGCAAAGCAGCAUCGCGGUGGCGGAGCGUCGUUUGCGACGCCCAACGCACAAAACAAGCGGUGAGUGCUUUGGGGUGGGGUGACUGCGUACCUUUUGUAUAAUGGGUCAGCGACUUAUAUUCUGUAGCAAGGUUAACCGUAUAGGGGAGCCGUAGGGAAACCGAGUCUUAACCGGGCGUUAAGUUGCAGGGUAUAGACCCGAAACCCGGUGAUCUAGCCAUGGGCAGGUUGAAGGUUGGGUAACACUAAC